Molecule: ribosomal RNA, 474 nt
Filed under: Aspergillus terreus
Lineage: Eukaryota; Fungi; Ascomycota; Eurotiomycetes; Eurotiales; Aspergillaceae
Description: SSU rRNA
Rfam family: Eukaryotic small subunit ribosomal RNA
Source: RNAcentral
GAGUAGCGCUUGUCUCUGUAGACAGCGCAUGGCUCAUGUAAUCAGCGAUCGGUUCUUUCAUAGUACCUUAGUACAUGGAUACCUGUGGUAAUUCUAGAGCUAAUACAUGCUAAAAACCCCGACUUCGGAAGGGGUGUAUUUAUUAGAUAAAAAACCAAUGCCCUUCGGGGCUCCUUGGUGAUUCAUAAUAACUUAACGAAUCGCAUGGCCUUGCGCCGGCGAUGGUUCAUUCAAAUUUCUGCCCUAUCAACUUUCGAUGGGAGGAUAGUGGCCUACCAUGGUGGCAACGGGUAACGGGGAAUUAGGGUUCGAUUCCGGAGAGGGAGCCUGAGAAACGGCUACCACAUCCGAGGAAGGCAGCAGGCGCGCAAAUUACCCAAUCCCGACACGGGGAGGUAGUGACAAUAAAUACUGAUACGGGGCCUCUUUCGGGACUCGUAAUUGGAAUUGAGAACAAUCUAAUUCCCUUAACGA